CAAGUCGAACGCGAAAUUUCCCUUCGGGGAGAAAGUAGAGUGGCGCACGGGUGAGUAACACGUAGGUAAUUUACCUUCGGGUGGGGAAUAACAGCCGGAAACGGCUGCUAAUACCGCAUAAUGCAGCGGCUCGACAUCGAGACAGUUGUUAAAGCGGGGGAUCGCAAGACCUCGCGCCUGAAGAGAAGCCUGCGGCAGAUUAGCUAGUUGGUAGGGUAAUGGCCUACCAAGGCGACGAUCUGUAACCGGCCUGAGAGGGCGGUCGGUCACACUGACACUGACAUACGGGUCAGACUCCUACGGGAGGCAGCAGUCGGGAAUUUUGGGCAAUGGGCGAAAGCCUGACCCAGCAACGCCGCGUGAAGGAUGAAAUCCCUCGGGAUGUAAACUUCGCAAGAAUGGGAAGAAUAAGUGCGAGCUAAUACCUCGCAUGAUGACGGUACUAUUUGUAAGCUCCGGCUAACUCCGUGCCAGCAGCCGCGGUAAUACGGGGGGAGCAAGCGUUGUUCGGAUUUACUGGGCGUAAAGGGCGCGUAGGCGGCGUGACUAGUCACUUGUGAAAUCUCCGGGCUUAACUCGGAACGGUCAAGUGAUACUGUCGUGCUAGAGUACAGAAGGGGCAACUGGAAUUCUCGGUGUAGCGGUGAAAUGCGUAGAUAUCGAGAGGAACACCUGCGGCGAAGGCGGGUUGCUGGGCUGAUACUGACGCUGAUGCGCGAAAGCCAGGGGAGCGAACGGGAUUAGAUACCCCGGUAGUCCUGGCCUUAAACGAUGAAUGCUUGGUGUCUCGGGUUACAUAGUCCCGGGGUGCCGUCGCUAACGCUUUUAGCAUUCCGCCUGGGGAGUACGGUCGCAAGACUGAAACUCAAAGGAAUUGACGGGGACCCGCACAAGCGGUGGAGCAUGUGGUUUAAUUCGACGC
This 922-nucleotide ribosomal RNA is filed under the name uncultured Bacillota bacterium. Its description in RNAcentral is "bacterial SSU rRNA". It matches the Rfam family "Bacterial small subunit ribosomal RNA", at positions 58 to 957 of the family's 1533-position model. The record is from RNAcentral. Lineage: Bacteria; Bacillati; Bacillota.